UCGUAACAAUAUAUUACAUCAGAAUGAGUUUUUGAUACCUAUUACAACACUCUAUGUAAAGAACUACCAAAUAAUAAGUUUGUUAAAAUCAUUCAUAGAGGACCCACAGCAUAGUCAGUGGGAUUAAUUGCAAUAUUGACUGGUAGGGGAAGGAGGGUAAGACGGUCCCCUUGAGUAGAACGGUUAUCUCUGUAUAUCAUCAGUUAUGCUAUCUAGAGUGGAUUACAUGCAACUAUUGUUCAAGUGACCGGUGCAUAAACACAUUAAUGGACGAGCGCGAAUGAGAGCGAUCAAAACGCGCGGGACUACAGAUUUUGUCUUUUUGAACAAAUGACAUCGAAGUUUCUACUCAGACUUAAACCAAAGCCUGACUAUGGACAACCUGAGCUGUGUCAUUCGCAAGGAUUGAGCCCCGAAUUUCAGCAUCAUAAACCUUGAAGCUUAAAGCUGAGACACUGGAGGGGGGAACUAUUUUACUUGCCUAUAUACACAAAAUGUCGGUUUUUACCCUUUGUUUUGUUUUUUAAUCGAUAUAUCAAGAAUCCGUGUCAACUGCUAAAACGUAUAUUAAUUGUAUUUGGCUUAUAAUGACUGAAAUUCAUCAUAACAUGCUGCAUGUGGUUGUGUUAAGUUUGAGUCACUGUAUUCAUUACACUUGACUGAAACCGAAAUAAAUUAGUCCGUCUCAUGGAA
Limulus polyphemus (Atlantic horseshoe crab) is the source of this 693-nucleotide long non-coding RNA. RefSeq lists it as uncharacterized. The record is from RefSeq and is a predicted model, not a curated record. NCBI's taxonomy places the organism in Eukaryota, Metazoa, Arthropoda, Merostomata, Xiphosura, Limulidae. The transcript is spliced from 2 exons.